This 517-nucleotide ribosomal RNA is filed under the name uncultured bacterium. Its description in RNAcentral is "bacterial SSU rRNA". It matches the Rfam family "Bacterial small subunit ribosomal RNA", at positions 110 to 660 of the family's 1533-position model. The record is from RNAcentral.
GUAACACGUGGAUAAUCUGCCCUUUAGUUGGGGAAUACCUCCUGGAAACGGGAGACAAUACCGCAUAAGCUCGUGAGAGGAAAGCCGAAAGGCGCUGAAAGAGGAGUCCGCGGCUGAUUAGCUAGAUGGCGGGGUAACGGCCCACCAUGGCGAAGAUCGGUAGCCGGCCUGAGAGGGCACACGGCACACUGGCACUGAAACACGGGCCAGACUCCUACGGGAGGCAGCAGUGGGGAAUCUUGCACAAUGGGGGAAACCCUGAUGCAGCGACGCCGCGUGAGCGAUGAAGCCCUUCGGGGUGUAAAGCUCUUUCGACGGGAACGAUAAUGACGGUACCCGAAGAAGAAGCUGCGGCUAACUACGUGCCAGCAGCCGCGGUAAUACGUAGGCAGCAAGCGUUGUUCGGAAUUACUGGGCGUAAAGAGUAUGUAGGCGGUGUUCUAAGUCUGUUGUGAAAUCUCCCGGCUCAACUGGGAGGGUGCGGCGGAACUGGAAUGCUAGAGUAUGGGAGAGGUAA